Molecule: transfer RNA, 76 nt
Filed under: Dehalococcoidia bacterium
Lineage: Bacteria; Bacillati; Chloroflexota; Dehalococcoidia
Description: tRNA-Arg
Rfam family: tRNA
About the family: Transfer RNA (tRNA) molecules are approximately 80 nucleotides in length. Their secondary structure includes four short double-helical elements and three loops (D, anti-codon, and T loops).
Source: RNAcentral
GCCCCUGUAGCUCAGUUGGAUAGAGCACUGGCCUCCGAAGCCAUUUGCGGGCGUUCGAGUCGCCCCAGGGGCACCA